Molecule: ribosomal RNA, 401 nt
Filed under: uncultured bacterium
Lineage: Bacteria
Description: partial 16S ribosomal RNA
Rfam family: Archaeal small subunit ribosomal RNA
Source: RNAcentral
ACACCGGCAGCUCUAGUGGUAGCAGUUUUUAUUGGGCCUAAAGCGUCCGUAGCCGGUUUAAUAAGUCUCUGGUGAAAUCCUGUAGCUUAACUGUGGGAAUUGCUGGAGAUACUAUUAGACUUGAGACCGGGAGAGGUUAGAGGUACUCCCAGGGUAGAGGUGAGAUUCUGUAAUCCUGGGAGGACCGCCUGUUGCGAAGGCGUCUAACUGGAACGGUUCUGACGGUGAGGGACGAAAGUUAGGGGCGCGAACCGGAUUAGAUACCCGGGUAGUCCUAACUGUAAACGAUGCGGACUUGGUGUUGGGGUGGCUUUGAGCUGCUCCAGUGCCGAAGGGAAGCUGUUAAGUCCGCCGCCUGGGAAGUACGGUCGCAAGACUGAAACUCAAAUGAAUUGGCGGGG